GAUGAACGCUGGCGGCGUGCCUAAUACAUGCAAGUCGAGCGAACAGACGAGGAGCUUGCUCCUCUGACGUUAGCGGCGGACGGGUGAUUAACACGUGGAUAACCUACCUAUAAGACUGGGAUAACUUCGGGAAACCGGAGCUAAUACCGGAUAAUAUAUUGAACCGCAUGGUUCAAUAGUGGAAGACGGUUUUGCUGUCACUUAUAGAUGGAUCCGCGCCGCAUUAGCUAGUUGGUAAGGUAACGGCUUACCAAGGCAACGAUGCGUAGCCGACCUGAGAGGGUGAUCGGCCACACUGGAACUGAGACACGGUCCAGACUCCUACGGGAGGCAGCAGUAGGGAAUCUUCCGCAAUGGGCGAAAGCCUGACGGAGCAACGCCGCGUGAGUGAUGAAGGUCUUCGGAUCGUAAAACUCUGUUAUUAGGGAAGAACAAAUGUGUAAGUAACUAUGCACGUCUUGACGGUACCUAAUCAGAAAGCCACGGCUAACUACGUG
This 497-nucleotide ribosomal RNA is filed under the name uncultured bacterium. RNAcentral describes it as "partial 16S ribosomal RNA". It matches the Rfam family "Bacterial small subunit ribosomal RNA", at positions 28 to 507 of the family's 1533-position model. The record is from RNAcentral.